GACGAACGCUGGCGGCGUGCUUAACACAUGCAAGUCGAGCGAUGAAGUUCCUCCGGGAAUGGAUUAGCGGCGGACGGGUGAGUAACACGUGGGUAACCUGCCUCAUAGAGGGGAAUAGCCUUCCGAAAGGAAGAUUAAUACCGCAUAAGAUUGUAGCUUCGCAUGAAGUAGCAAUUAAAGGAGCAAUCCGCUAUGAGAUGGACCCGCGUCGCAUUAGCUAGUUGGUGAGGUAACGGCUCACCUAGGCGACGAUGCGUAGCCGACCUGAGAGGGUGAUCGGCCACAUUGGGACUGAGACACGGCCCAGACUCCUACGGGAGGCAGCAGUGGGGAAUAUUGCACAAUGGGGGAAACCCUGAUGCAGCAACGCCGCGUGAGUGAUGACGGACUUCGGAUUGUAAAACUCUGUCUUCAGGGACGAUAAUGACUGUACCUGAGGAGGAAGCCACGGCUAACUACGUGCCAGCCGCCGCCGUAA
Molecule: ribosomal RNA, 478 nt
Filed under: uncultured bacterium
Lineage: Bacteria
Description: partial 16S ribosomal RNA
Rfam family: Bacterial small subunit ribosomal RNA
Source: RNAcentral